RNAcentral lists this small nucleolar RNA (154 nucleotides) under Lates calcarifer (barramundi perch). Its description in RNAcentral is "Small nucleolar RNA U109 (ENSLCAG00010024760.1)". It matches the Rfam family "Small nucleolar RNA U109". The record is from Rfam by way of RNAcentral. Lineage: Eukaryota; Metazoa; Chordata; Actinopteri; Centropomidae.
CUGCAUGUUUUGGCCCCGAGCCAUUGUUGGCCUCUCUAUUUCUGUAGAGUGGACAAGUACAAACAUGCUAGAUUAACACUUAAGACAUGGGAGUUAACAGGGCCACCAGUCUCUCAAGGUCAGACUGAGUUGGUAGUAUAAUACUCCAACAUUC